RNAcentral lists this ribosomal RNA (471 nucleotides) under uncultured KB1 group bacterium. RNAcentral describes it as "bacterial SSU rRNA". It matches the Rfam family "Bacterial small subunit ribosomal RNA", at positions 1016 to 1501 of the family's 1533-position model. Lineage: Bacteria; Candidatus Calescibacteriota. The record is from RNAcentral.
UUUGCUUGAGGAGCCGUGGCAGGUAUUGCAUGGCUUUCGUCAGCUCGUGUCGUGGGACGUUGGGUUAAGUCCCGUAACGAGCGCAACCCCUGCCCUUAAUUGCCAACGGGUAAUGCCGGGUACUAUAAGGGGACUGCCGGAGAAUAUCCGGAGGAAGGAGGGGAUGACGUCAAGUCAUUAUGAUCCUUAUGCUCUGGGCGACACACGUGCUACAAUGGGCACUACAAUGAGGAGCGAUUCCGCAAGGAGGAGCAAAUCUCAAAAAGGUGCCCCCAGUGCGGAUUGGGGUCUGCAACCCGACCCCAUGAAGAUGGAAUCGGUAGUAAUCGCGGGUCAGCCAUACCGCGGUGAAUACGUACUUGGGCCUUGUACACACCGCCCGUCACACCAACCGAGUAGGCGACACCCGAAGUCGACGUAUGUUGCCGAAGGUGUUACCUGCAAGGGGGGUGAAGUCGUAACAAGGUAACC